RNAcentral lists this transfer RNA (71 nucleotides) under Micrura bella. Its description in RNAcentral is "tRNA-Trp". Lineage: Eukaryota; Metazoa; Nemertea; Pilidiophora; Heteronemertea; Lineidae. The record is from RNAcentral.
GAGCUUUUAAGUUAAGUUAAACUAGGGACCUUCAAAGUCUCCAAUGAUGUCAAUAUGGUAAUCAAGGCUUG